GAUGAACGCUGGCGGCGUGCCUAAUACAUGCAAGUCGAGCGAACAGACGAGGAGCUUGCUCCUCUGACUUUAGCGGCGGACGGGUGAGUAACACGUGGAUAACCUACCUAUAAGACUGAGAUAACUUCGGGAAACCGGAGCUAAUACCGGAUAAUAUAUUGAACCGCAUGGUUCAAUAGUGAAAGACGGUUUUGCUGUCACUUAUAGAUGGAUCCGCGCCGCAUUAGCUAGUUGGUAAGGUAACGGCUUACCAAGGCGACGAUGCGUAGCCGACCUGAGAGGGUGAUCGGCCACACUAGAACUGAGACACGGUCCAGACUCCUACGGGAGGCAGCAGUAGGGAAUCUUCCGCAAUGGGCGAAAGCCUGACGGAGCAACGCCGCGUGAGUGAUGAAGGUCUUCGGAUCGUAAAACUCUGUUAUUAGGGAAGAACAAAUGUGUAAGUAACUAUGCACGUCUUGACGGUACCUAAUCAGAAAGCCACGGCUAACUACGUG
RNAcentral lists this ribosomal RNA (497 nucleotides) under uncultured bacterium. RNAcentral's name for it is "partial 16S ribosomal RNA". It matches the Rfam family "Bacterial small subunit ribosomal RNA", at positions 28 to 507 of the family's 1533-position model. The record is from RNAcentral.